AUUGAACGCUGGCGGCAGGCCUAACACAUGCAAGUCGAGCGGAGCGGCGGACGGGCGAGUAAUGCCUAGGAAUCUGACUGGUAGUGGGGGAUAACGUCCGGAAACGGGAGCUAAUAUCGCAUACUAUCAGAUGAGCCUAGGUCGUAUUAGCUCGUUGGUGGGGUAAAGGCCUACCAAGGCGACGAGCCGUAACUGGUCUGAGAGGAUGGUCAGUCAAACUGGAACUGUGACACGGUCCAGACGCCUACGGGAGGCAGCGGUGGGGAAUAUUGGACAAUGGGCGAAAGCCUGAUCCAGCCAUGCAGCGUGUGUGAAGAAGGUCUUCGGAUUGUAAGGCACUUUAAGUUGGGAGGCGUUACCAGCAGAAUAAGCACCGGCUAACUUCGUGCCAGCAGCCGCGGUAAUAC
Molecule: ribosomal RNA, 407 nt
Filed under: uncultured bacterium
Lineage: Bacteria
Description: partial 16S ribosomal RNA
Rfam family: Bacterial small subunit ribosomal RNA
Source: RNAcentral